UUAAGAUACUAAGGGCAUACGGUGGAUGCCUUGGCGAUAUCUGCCGAAGAAGGACGCGACAAGCUGCGAAAAGCUACGGGUAGGCGCAAAUAGCCGUUGAACCGUAGAUAUCCGAAUGGAGAAAUCCGGCGGUGGUAAUGCACCGUCACCCAUACCGACCGGUAUGAGGAGGGAACUCGGUGAACUGAAACAUCUAAGUAACCGGAGGAGAAGAAAUCAAACGAGAUACCCCAAGUAGCGGCGAGCGAACGGGGAAGAAGCCUAAACCGAAUAAGGAAACUUAAUCGGGGUUGAGGACCGACAAAAUUGGAGGAAAAGUUAGCCAAAUCUCUUGGGAAAGAGAGCCGAAGACAGUGAGAGCCUGGUAGGCGAAAACAAGAACUCUAAGGACGGAAUCCAGAGUAGUGCGGGACACGAGAAAUCCCGUAUGAAGCAGGGGGGACCACCCUCCAAGGCAAAACACAGAUAUCGACCGAUAGCGCAUAGUACCAUGAGGGAAAGGUGAAAAGCACCCCGGGAGGGGAAUGAAAGAGAACCUGAAACCGUAUGUUUACAAGCAGUCGGAGACCGCUUAAUAAUAAGGUCGACGGCGUGCCUAUUGAAGAAUGAACCGGCGAGUUACGAAGCCUGGCAAGGUUAAGCAGGAAAUGCGGAGCCGAAGCGAAAGCGAGUCUUAAGAGGGCGCAAGUCAGGAAGCGUAGACCCGAAACCACAGUGAUCUACCCAUGUCCAGGUUGAAACACAGGUAAAAAUGUGUGGAGGACCGAACCUAUAUCCGUUGAAAAGGGUUAGGAUGAGGUGUGGGUAGGGGUGAAAUUCCAAUCGAACGUGGAGAUAGCUGGUUCUCCCCGAAAUAGCUUUAGGGCUAGCCUCAGGGAAAAGAUUGCAGGCGGUAGAGCACUGAUCAGGAGAGGGACCUACCCGGUUACCAAACCCAGUCAAACUCCGAAUGGCUGCAAUCAUACCUGGGAGUCAGACUGCGACUAAUAAGGGCCGCAGUCAAAAGGGAAACAGCCCAGACCAUCAGCUAAGGUCCCCAAUGCCGUGCUAAGUGGCGAAGGAUGUGGCAUUUCAUAAACAACCAGGAUGUUGGCUCAGAAGCAGCCACCAUUUAAAGAGUGCGUAAUAGCUCACUGGUCGAGAGACGCUGCGCCGAAAAUGUCCGGGGCUCAAGCACGGAACCGAAGCUAUGGCAUGAUAGCAAUAUCAUGGGUAGGGGAGCGUUCUUAUAAGGAAGAAGCAUGACCGGAAGGACAUGUGGACGAAUAAGAAGUGAGAAUGCCGGUAUGAGUAUCGAAAAGAAAGGUGAGAAUCCUUUCCACCGAAAGCCCGAGGGUUCCUGAGCAACGAUCGUCGACUCAGGGUAAGUCGGGACCUAAGCCGAGGCGAGAAGCGUAGGCGAUGGACAACAGGUUGAAAUUCCUGUACCGGAUCAAGUCGAUCGAGCGAAGGAGCGACGCAGGAGGGCACAUGAUCGCGCGGCUGGAAGAGCGCGUCCAAGUGCGUAUGUUGCAGCAGAGGAAAACCCCUGCAGCUAAAAGCAGAGACAUGAUGGGGAGUUAAAGGAAACUUUGACGAACUCAUGGAUCCCACACUGCCAAGAAAAACUUCUAGCGAGACAAGAUCCGCCCGUACCGUAAACCGACACAGGUAGGCGGGGAGAGAAUCCUAAGGUGCGCGGGAAAACCCUCGUUAAGGAACUCGGCAAAUUGCAUCCGUAACCUAGGGAGAAGGAUGGCCCCCGGUCAGUGAAGAGCAGAAACGCUCAGAGCUAAAAGGGGCGGCAGAAAAGAGGCCCAAGCAACUGUUUACCAAAAACACAGGUGCCUGCGAAAGCGAAAGCUGAAGUAUAGGUGCUGACGCCUGCCCGGUGCUGGAAGGUUAAGGAGAGAGGUCAGCUAAGGCGAAGCUUUGAACUGAAGCCCCAGUGAACGGCGGCCGUAACUAUAACGGUCCUAAGGUAGCGAAAUUCCUUGUCGGGUAAG
RNAcentral lists this ribosomal RNA (1985 nucleotides) under human gut metagenome. RNAcentral's name for it is "bacterial LSU rRNA". It matches the Rfam family "Bacterial large subunit ribosomal RNA", at positions 1 to 1980 of the family's 2925-position model. The record is from RNAcentral.